UGGUAGUUGGAUUCCACCUCUGGAAGUGAGC
This 31-nucleotide non-coding RNA is filed under the name Homo sapiens (human). Lineage: Eukaryota; Metazoa; Chordata; Mammalia; Primates; Hominidae. The record is from RNAcentral.